Molecule: ribosomal RNA, 458 nt
Filed under: uncultured bacterium
Lineage: Bacteria
Description: bacterial SSU rRNA
Rfam family: Bacterial small subunit ribosomal RNA
Source: RNAcentral
CGCUGGCGGCGUGCCUAACACAUGCAAGUCGAACGGGGUAAUUACUUCGGUGAUUACUUAGUGGCGAACGGGUGAGUAACGCGUGAGGAACCUGCCUCUCAGUGGGGGACAACAGUUGGAAACGACUGCUAAUACCGCAUAACGCAGCGAGACCGCAUGGUCUUGCUGUCAAAGCUUUAUGUGCUGAGAGAUGGCCUCGCGUCUGAUUAGCUAGUUGGCGGGGUAACGGCCCACCAAGGCGACGAUCAGUAGCCGGUCUGAGAGGAUGAACGGCCACAUUGGGACUGAGAUACGGCCCAGACUCCUACGGGAGGCAGCAGUGGGGAAUAUUGGGCAAUGGGGGAAACCCUGACCCAGCAACGCCGCGUGAAGGAAGAAGGCCUUCGGGUUGUAAACUUCUUUUACCAGGGACGAAGAACGUGACGGUACCUGGAGAAAAAGCCACGGCUAACUACGUG